Molecule: ribosomal RNA, 429 nt
Filed under: Gemmatimonadota bacterium
Lineage: Bacteria; Pseudomonadati; Gemmatimonadota
Description: Gemmatimonadetes bacterium partial 16S ribosomal RNA
Rfam family: Bacterial small subunit ribosomal RNA
Source: RNAcentral
UAGGGAAUCUUCGGCAAUGGACGAAAGUCUGACCGAGCAACGCCGCGUGAGUGAAGAAGGCUUUCGGAUCGUAAAACUCUGUUGUUAGAGAAGAACAAGGACGUUAGUAACUGAACGUCUACUGACGGUAUCUACCCAGAAAGCAACGGCUAACUACGUGCCAGCAGCCGCGGUAAUACGUAGGUGGCAAGCGUUGUCCGGAUUUAUUGGGCGUAAAGCGAGCGCAGGCGGUUUCGUAAGUCUGAUGUGAAAGCCCCCGGCUCAACCGGGGGUGGUCAUUGGGAACUGUGAGACUUGAGUGCAGAAGAGGGGAGUGGAAUUCCAUGUGUAGCAGUGAAAUGCGUAGAUAUAUGGAGGAACACCGGUGGCGAAGGCGGCGCUCUGGUCUGUAACUGACGCUGAGGCUCGAAAGCGUGGGGAGCAAACAGG